Molecule: ribosomal RNA, 445 nt
Filed under: uncultured bacterium
Lineage: Bacteria
Description: partial 16S ribosomal RNA
Rfam family: Bacterial small subunit ribosomal RNA
Source: RNAcentral
GUGAGGAAUAUUGCGCAAUGGAGGCAACUCUGACGCAGCCAUGCCGCGUGCAGGAAGAAGGCGCUACGCGUUGUAAACUGCUUUUAACCGGGAAGAAACCCCAGGACGUGUCCUGGGUUGACUGUACCGGAGGAAUAAGCACCGGCUAACUUCGUGCCAGCAGCCGCGGUAAUACGAAGGGUGCAAGCGUUAUCCGGAUUCAUUGGGUUUAAAGGGUGCGUAGGCGGAGCGUUAAGUCAGUGGUGAAAUCCUGCAGCUUAACUGUAGACUUGCCAUUGAUACUGGCGCUCUUGAGUGCGCUUGAAGUGGGCGGAAUGUGCCGUGUAGCGGUGAAAUGCUUAGAGAUGGCACAGAACACCAAUUGCGAAGGCAGCUCACUAAGGCGAUACUGACGCUGAGGCACGAAAGCGUGGGGAUCGAACAGGAUUAGAAACCCGAGUAGUCC